Long non-coding RNA from Gasterosteus aculeatus aculeatus (three-spined stickleback), 666 nucleotides. NCBI's taxonomy places the organism in Eukaryota, Metazoa, Chordata, Actinopteri, Perciformes, Gasterosteidae. The record is from Ensembl.
UUUUUAUUUUACCGACUGACUCAGCUAAAGAGCUGCUGGACAAGUGGAAAUUUAAUCGGCUUUGAUCAAAGACUACUAUUUCUGUGCUAAUUCAUGUUGUUUUCAUGUGCUAAAAACUUGUUUUAGAGAGGCAUGACUGGCUCCUAUUUGGACUUGUUUUAAUCUGUCUUAUUCUUUAUCAUUUUACAGGAAAUGUUGGCUAAAGUGGAGAUUGGAGGGGUCCUAAAAUACGUGAAAAUUCCAGAGACUGAUGGAUUUUUUCAAUUUGAUAUGUUCCUUCAAGAAGUGAACGACAAGUUUAGUCUGCAGCCAGACAGCUUCAGUGAGGGCCAGUUCACCAUCACAGAUAUGUCAGGAACAGAGGUGGAUGGAGAUAUCUUUGAUGAGCUUGUCAAGUCGGGUGUCCUGACCUUCAAGGUCCCUUUACCAGUAAUGGAUCUGGAUGUUGAGCUGGUUGCAGAUCAAGCAUCCUCCUCUGUAUUGACAUCGCUGUCCCCAACUUCAUCCCAUUCAUCCUUGGUAGUGGCACAGACUGCACUAUCCCCAGCUUUAUCCCAUUCAUCUGAUUCCACCGUUAUUCUGGAGUCCACAAGAAAAAGGAGGAACCCAACAGGGUUAAUGGACCAGAAUGAAGCAAAACAGGAGGGUUCCACCGUCAAGUGUAAG